This 328-nucleotide ribosomal RNA is filed under the name uncultured bacterium. Its description in RNAcentral is "bacterial SSU rRNA". It matches the Rfam family "Bacterial small subunit ribosomal RNA", at positions 568 to 898 of the family's 1533-position model. The record is from RNAcentral.
UGCGUAGGCGGACCCGUAAGUCAGUGGUGAAAGUUUGCAGCUCAACUGUAAAAUUGCCAUUGAAACUGCGGAUCUUGAGUGUAAAUGAGGUAGGCGGAAUGUGUUGUGUAGCGGUGAAAUGCUUAGAUAUAACACAGAACACCAAUUGCGAAGGCAGCUUACUAGGAUACAACUGACGCUGAGGCACGAAAGCGUGGGGAUCAAACAGGAUUAGAUACCCUGGUAGUCCACGCAGUAAACGAUGAAUACUAGCUGUAUGCGAUAUACUGUAUGUGGCAAAGCGAAAGCGUUAAGUAUUCCACCUGGGGAGUACGUUCGCAAGAAUGAA